Molecule: transfer RNA, 74 nt
Filed under: Halobacteriovorax marinus SJ
Lineage: Bacteria; Pseudomonadati; Bdellovibrionota; Bacteriovoracia; Bacteriovoracales; Halobacteriovoraceae
Description: Bacteriovorax marinus SJ tRNA
Rfam family: tRNA
About the family: Transfer RNA (tRNA) molecules are approximately 80 nucleotides in length. Their secondary structure includes four short double-helical elements and three loops (D, anti-codon, and T loops). Further hydrogen bonds mediate the characteristic L-shaped molecular structure. tRNAs have two regions of fundamental functional importance: the anti-codon, which is responsible for specific mRNA codon recognition, and the 3' end, to which the tRNAs corresponding amino acid is attached (by aminoacyl-tRNA synthetases). tRNAs cope with the degeneracy of the genetic code in two manners: having more than one tRNA (with a specific anti-codon) for a particular amino acid; and 'wobble' base-pairing, i.e. permitting non-standard base-pairing at the 3rd anti-codon position.
Source: Rfam by way of RNAcentral
GCACCCUUGGCUCAGCUGGAUAGAGCGUCUGACUACGGAUCAGAAGGUCGGGAGUUCGAAUCUCUCAGGGUGCG